This 1445-nucleotide long non-coding RNA is filed under the name Callithrix jacchus (white-tufted-ear marmoset). RNAcentral describes it as "lncRNA (ENSCJAG00000081583.1)". The record is from RNAcentral. Lineage: Eukaryota; Metazoa; Chordata; Mammalia; Primates; Cebidae.
GUGCUGAAGGACCGCUUUUCCCCUCAAUCUGCCCUGGACUGAUACCAGAAUACAAAUGUGCUACAUGUGACUGACCACAGGAGUUUGACAACACCUGAACUGCUCUUUGCCCUGUUCAACAAGGGGAGUCUACUGGCCAUUUGAGAAGCCUGAGCCUCAGAGGAGGAAGUGACUCCUUUCAUUUAUGCUGCUGGCAUCUGGUGAAGCUUGGUCUUGGCAUUCAGAUUUUGGCCAUUACAAACAGUGCCGCUGUGAACGUUUUGCUGCCUGUCUUCCAGGUAGACACAGCUCCCACAGAAACUCUCUGCACCGCCCCGCUGCAGCCAGGGUUGAGGGAGGAGUGGUGUCAGCGAUUCAGGACUGUUUUUCUAUCUCUUCAGUGCCUCUUUCAGUGAUAUGAAGUUAAAACCAGGUACUAUGAGUGCUCACUUUAUUUGGGGUUCUCAUGAAGGUGUUUUUUCUGUGUAGAUAGUUACUAACUCAGUGUCCUUGUGGGGGUGGAUUGGGGGGGCAAUGGUGGAAACUCUUAUUCCAUCAUCUUGCAUUUCCUCUUUUUUCCCUCUCUAAACAGACCAGAAUGUGCCUCUGAAUGCUAUUUUUAAUUUAUUAAAUUAAAAUGUGAAAGUUAUGAUUUAUUACUUGGUAGGCCUCGAUAUGUUAUUUUUUUUCAUUCUCAUUAGUUAAUAAAGAUGCCAACUCUUAACUAAACUGAGAAAAUUUACCAAACUGCAUGUCAGUUAAACUUAGUUGCUUUGAUUUGCUUUGUUUUGGCUUUCUUUUAUCCCUUUGCAUUUUUAAUAAUGCAAAGGAAUAAAAGGAAGUAAAAAAGUACAUUGAAAUAAUGAGCAUUGAAAUAAUAAUCCUUCUAUGAAUUCAAGCAAUGCAUUCAGAGUGGAGUCCAUGGUGUACUUACCCUCACGUCCUGGCUGUCCGUCUAGUGAACAACACUCGUGCACACUCUUAAUAGUAGCUGAGAUAGGCAUUUAGUUUUUUGAGCAAGAAAAGACACUUUAGCAAGUUAGGGAAGAAAGAAGUAUUCUAUUUCUAUAAAUGUAUGCAAUGUUGUUUGACACAUCAGCUAUAACUACCCUUUUAAAACAUCUACUAUGUGUCAGUGCUAUGCAAAGUAUAAUGUGGCUUAUUUAAAAUUUCUGCAACAGGCCGAGCAUGGUGGCUCAUGCUUGUAAUCCCAGCAUUUUGGGAGGCUGAGGUGGUGGAUUGAGGUCAGGAGUUUGAGACCAGGCUGGCCAACAUGGUGAAACCCCAUCUCUACUAAAAAUACAAAAAUUAGCCAGGCAUGAUGGUGCGUACCUGUAGCCCCAGCUACUCAGGAGGCUAAGGUAGAAGCAUCACUUGAACGUGGGAGGUGGAUGUUGCAGUGAGCUGAGAUUGAGCUACUGCACUCUAGCUUGGGUAACAGAGAGAGACUCUGUCUCAAAUAAAAA